CCUACGGGAGGCAGCAGUGAGGAAUAUUGGUCAAUGGACGCAAGUCUGAACCAGCCAUGUAGCGUGCAGGAAGACUGCCCUAUGAGUUGUAAACUUCUUUUAUACGAGGAUAAAUCGCGGUACGUGUAUCGGGUUGAAAGUACUGUACGAAUAAGGAUCGGCUAACUCCGUGCCAGCAGCCGCGGUAAUACGGAGGAUACAAGCGUUAUCCGGAUUUAUUGGGUUUAAAGGGUGCGUAGGCGGUUCGAUAAGUUAGAGGUGAAAUCUCGGGGCUCAACUGUGGCAUUGCCACUGAUACUGGCGGUCUAGAGUUUAGUUGCGGUAGGCGGAAUGUGUGGUGUAGCGGUGAAAUGCAUAGAGAUCAUACAGAACACCGAUUGCGAAGGCAGCUUACCAAACUACGACUGACGUUGAUGCACGAAAGCGUGGGUAGCAAACAGGAUUAGAUACCCUUGUAGUC
RNAcentral lists this ribosomal RNA (460 nucleotides) under uncultured bacterium. RNAcentral's name for it is "partial 16S ribosomal RNA". It matches the Rfam family "Bacterial small subunit ribosomal RNA", at positions 338 to 795 of the family's 1533-position model. The record is from RNAcentral.